GGACAGUUGGUAGAGCGGUUGAAUACACCAGUCUUGAAAACUGGCAAGCCCUCACGGGCUUCGAGGGUUCGAAUCCCUCACUGUCCGCCA
This 90-nucleotide transfer RNA is filed under the name Pseudobdellovibrionaceae bacterium. Its description in RNAcentral is "tRNA-Ser". It matches the Rfam family "tRNA". Rfam says of the family: Transfer RNA (tRNA) molecules are approximately 80 nucleotides in length. Their secondary structure includes four short double-helical elements and three loops (D, anti-codon, and T loops). Further hydrogen bonds mediate the characteristic L-shaped molecular structure. tRNAs have two regions of fundamental functional importance: the anti-codon, which is responsible for specific mRNA codon recognition, and the 3' end, to which the tRNAs corresponding amino acid is attached (by aminoacyl-tRNA synthetases). tRNAs cope with the degeneracy of the genetic code in two manners: having more than one tRNA (with a specific anti-codon) for a particular amino acid; and 'wobble' base-pairing, i.e. permitting non-standard base-pairing at the 3rd anti-codon position. The record is from RNAcentral. Lineage: Bacteria; Pseudomonadati; Bdellovibrionota; Bdellovibrionia; Bdellovibrionales; Pseudobdellovibrionaceae.